Molecule: long non-coding RNA, 1598 nt
Organism: Leopardus geoffroyi (Geoffroy's cat)
Lineage: Eukaryota; Metazoa; Chordata; Mammalia; Carnivora; Felidae
Exons: 2
Source: RefSeq, a predicted model, not a curated record
GGCGGCGGCUCGGACCCCGGCAGCCCGCCCGGCUCCCGCGUCCUCCUGCGCGCCUCGUCUUCCCCACGCGCGGAGCGGGCGUGUCCGGAGCCAGCGGAAUGGACGCCGAGCGGGGCCGCGCGCCUGUGGGACUCGGUGCUCGGGGUGCUCAGAGCGCGCAGGCUGCUGCCACCGUGGCGGGGUGACCGGCCGCCGACGGCGCGAGGGGUCCCCCCCACCCCCUUCAGGCUACUCUCGGGGCCCACCCUGCCGGUGGAGCCCAGGCCCGGCCCUCUUGCUGGGAGUCUAGUGUCAUUUGUGAUAAGAAGGGACGCUUACAAGCAAAACUGGACGUGAGAUGUGUACUCGCUGGAGUAGUCUAGGGGCCCAGCUCUCCUCCGCCCUUCCCACCACAGGGCCUUUGCUCGGGUUGGUCUUUGUGACUGAUAUGCCCUCACUACGUCCCGGCUUCGUGCGGAUGACUCCAGCAUGGCUAAUGUUUCUUGCUACAGUAUUUCUUCCCCAAAGUGCAUCCGUCCCCUCGUGCUCCCCCACCCCCACCCCGAGAUGCUGCACUUGUCACAGAGCAUGUUGUCUUUUGAUCCCAUCAGAAUGCAAACUCCCUGAGAGUCCGGGAUCCACAAAUGCAUCAAGUUGAAAGCAAUUUGCUUAGAAUUGGAACAAAAAUGUUUUCAGAUACACAGAGUAAAAAAUUUGGAGUUCGUAACGGUGUUGGGUGAAAAUUGGCAUCCUUCCGACCCCUGACCUCCAAGACCUGGCUCCCCUUUCCUGGGGCAGUUUCUUAUAUGUUAACGCAGAAAAUCUAUGUUUGUACAUCCAGUGUAUUUAUACAAAACUCUGCUCACUGUGCACGGGAUCCUGUUACUCAGCAUAGCUUGGAGAGCAUUGUUUGUGUUCUGACGUAGAGAUCUAGGUCGUUUGUUUGCAUCGAAGCACCAUAUUGUGUUAGUCCUAUAAUUGGGUAGAAAUUUAGGUUCUUUCUAGGCUUUUUGUAAUAAGCAGCGCUAGACUGAUUAUCCUUGUCCAAAAGUCUUUGUACCCAAGUAGGAAUGUUUUUGUAGGCUACAUUUUUUAGUGCAGGAGUGCUAGGUCAAAGGGCUUUUCGUAGGUCUCUAAAUGCCUGUGUGAUCUCUCAACAGGGUCAUACCAAAGGAGGGGCCUAGGGUCCUGCACCGCUGAUGCUUGAUUUUGCAGAUCUGGGACUCCUGCCCACAGAGCGGCCGGCACAGCCCACAGAUGAGGUCUGAGAUCCCAAUUACUGCCAGGAGUAACGACUUGUGGGGCCACCCUGUGGGGAACAACCAGGACGCAGCCCCGACCGCUUUGCGCACAUCCUCUGCAAGAAGGUGCCUGCCUCUGCCCUGAGUGUGGCCUCGACCCACACCUGCUGGGGGGACCGCGUGCUCCAGGCCCCAGGUGGGGCUGCUGAUGCCAUGUUUCCCCAACCACCCCCCUCUUCCUCCACUCUGUAGGUCGGUGCCCACCUACCACCUAUGCCCUGAUCUGACUCCCAGCUGCCUUGCCCUAGACCUUGAGCCCCUUGAGGGCAAGAUGCUGGGGGGAAUGGCUCUGAGCUCAAUAAACAUCCCUGGAAGCAA